UUCAGAAAUCGAUGAGCUGCUAAGUUAGUAUUACCACAUUCAAAGAAGAUACAUUGCAGGAGCAUGAAGAUUUAAUUAUGUCAAUCAAUGAUAUAAUCGUUUAGUGUACAUUACUAAAAUGAUCCCAAAAUAUAGACAUCCACAUACAAGUAAAUGUACACUGCAAAACAUCUCAUUAAGUUCUACAACAAUAUUUCUCUUCAUUUACUCUCAUAAGUGCUUGUUUGCCCAAAAUGAUUGACAGAAAGGAACCAUGGCCAAACCCAUUUUGCUAUUCAGCACCAGCACCAGUAUGCCACUCACCAUGAAGAACCGAAGCCAAGAAACAGAAAUAGGGGAAAGUAAAAUAUCACCCAGAAACUAGAGAAAAAUUAAUUCAAUUUCCACAUCCAACUAUCUGAAACUUAAGGCAUUGAAUAUAGUGAAAUCCUCAAUCUGAGAAGGGUUUGAUCUUGAACCUGUAGAUAAGUUUCUUCUUUUUUGAGGUUGAAUUGUCCACUGUGAGCAAGAUUUUACCCAGUUCACCAACUAUGAAGCUGCUAGUCACCACUGGUUCAUCGAUUGGGGCCAAUUUUGUCGGUUUCUGUACGAUGACUGUAUAUGCAUCUUUAGCAUCAGGCACAAACUCAGCACCGUAGCUCACCUCCCACCCCACAACUCGGAUUUCCCAGACAAUUAUACAUUUCUCAUAAAUUAUAAUUUCCACAGUUUGCUUGGUUGCUGGUUUCACAGUUAUCUCAGUUGCAGGAUCGGCAACAGUAAAUUCAGGGUUGCAAUCACAGUAAUCCACACUCAAGCCACCAUACUGAAUAGGCACUUGCUCAGGUGAUAUAUAUUUGAAAAGGGUCUCAGCAGAUUUUGAUGGGCCUGCAAAUACAAAUUUGCUUUUGGUCCUCUGGGUCAUGAAUGGACUGAUCAUUGUAUAGAAAGCAAGAUACCACCAAGGGACGUUGAUGAACACCUGUUUAGCUACAAACUCAGGAUAAUUGUCCUGAAGCAAUUGGAGAGCCUGGCUGGUGGCCAACCUAAGCUCCCGUUUUCCAGGUCCUGGAGAAUUCUUGAGAUCAUUAACCUGAAAGAUGGUAGAAAUACCACCAGGACUAAAAUCAAGCUUCCUUAUACUCCUCUCUAAGAACUGAAUCCGAAACCGCAGAAACUUCAUUCUCUUCUCCUCGUCAGCAAAUGUCUUUUGAUACAAUUCUUUAUUCUGAAACUCCCCAUACACAUUAUAGCACACAGGAUGCCCCUCCCUGUCAUGACCAUGCAUAAAAACCACUUUAUCCAAAUCAUCACCGAGAUCUUCAUCAAGAAGUUCAUCGAUUUUAAAUUCCUUCCUCCAUCGGAUUGUGCUCUUGAUCAUGAUAAAUGCAUCUUUUACUUUGAACUCCCUGGCCCUCAAGAACUUCAAGAGUAUCACAUCACUUCUAUCAUCCUUGAGAAGAGGAAUCCCCCAUAUGGAGACUUCCUCUGGAGGAGAUGCAAGCUUUGGCUCUUCUUUUUUAGCUUCUUCUUGGGAUUCUUUGGAUUGGGUUCCUUCUUCAACUUUUGAUUCUUGGGGUGGUGGUUUCUCUGUACUGACAUCGGAUUCUGACAAGGGUGCUUCAGCUUUUGCAGGAGCAUCUGAGGUCGGUCCAGAGGACACAGCUGGAAUUUCUUGACUAUUUUGUCCUGGUGGAGUAACACUCUGUUUCUCUUCUUCUUUUGUUGUUGGUGGUGGUGGUGGAGAGCUAAAUUGGUGGCUAUUGAGAGCUUCCUGAACCAACUGCUUCAGUUCUUCCAAAGCUUUCCUCUCAAAAUCAGAGAGAUCAGCCACUAUGUUACUCUCCUCCUUGAACGAAACCAAAGUCUGAGGAAUCUUUUGCUCUUCAAUUUGCUUCUCUUUCCCAGCCUCAACCACAACAACCUCUUCUUUACUAACUACAGACUCGGCCAUUUCCUCACCUUUCUCCUCCGCAGCCGAAGACGGCAGAGGAGAAAAGAAAGACUCAUCUUUCUCCAUCAUAGCCGCCAGUGAUUUAGACUCUUGCGGCGGUGUAGUUGGCCGUGGUGGCUCUUCUUUCUCUAUUAUGACCGGCGAUUCAGACUCUUCCACAACUGAAGGUGGAGCAGGCAGAGAGGCUUCUAUUUCCUUCUUUUCAACCACAGGUGGAGGUGACGGAGCCUGGACUUCUGGCGGUGGGGCAGUAGAAACAGAAGAAUCUUCGGCCAUGUUUGGAAGCGGAGACAGAGAUAAGCAAGUGUUUGGUGUGCGAAGAAAAAGAGGGGAGGUAGUGAGAGUGCGAGGGAAGAGAGAGAAGAGAAAAAGAGUAAAGUGAAGUGUAAAUGCUGAGGAAAUGAGUCACGCGGGUCUGAGUUGUGAGUUAUGAGUUCUGACUGCAUUUUUUUUUUUUAACGUAA
Molecule: unclassified non-coding RNA, 2397 nt
Filed under: Hevea brasiliensis (rubber tree)
Lineage: Eukaryota; Viridiplantae; Streptophyta; Magnoliopsida; Malpighiales; Euphorbiaceae
Source: RNAcentral